Long non-coding RNA from Macrosteles quadrilineatus (aster leafhopper), 1096 nucleotides. RefSeq lists it as uncharacterized. The transcript has 3 exons. The record is from RefSeq and is a predicted model, not a curated record. NCBI's taxonomy places the organism in Eukaryota, Metazoa, Arthropoda, Insecta, Hemiptera, Cicadellidae.
UUUUAGUCACUAACAAGACUACAAGAUCGCGCCACUCAUCCUACACUCAUCUCCAUUCAUACUUGGCUUAAAAUACCUACUUUGUAUGGUCGCCAAGUAAUAAGAAAGAAAGUAUUAAAGAAAUAUAUUCAUUGGAAUGAGUGUAGGAUGUAAACUUAAGUGCUGUAAAAUAUUCUAGAGAGGUUUGUAUUUGGUGUAAGACUAGUCUUGGAUUAUAUCAUUCAUUGCUGAUGACUUCAAUGUUAAUUUUAUAGAUGAUCCUGGAGCAAAGGCUGUAAUUUGACCUGAGCCCAAAUUGGUCUCUAGUUUAAAUACCCUAUUGUCUUGAACCAAUAAGUUAAGAGGACUAACCUUUCUGGACGACAUUGCCAUCGACAUCACUGCAGAUGAGAGAUAUAGAGAGACCAGAGUUGUGUACCCUGGAGGCUAUUACCAUACUGCCGUGAUAACUAAGUUAUUCAAAGUUCAAAUCGGUACUUUGAGCUGUAGCCUACCAGUAGAAUGGGGGCGUUGUAAUUAAUAUCCUCCGACAUUGGAGGAUACAGGGGAGAGUUGCCAGAGGAAGAGGAGAUGGAGGAUGGGGCGAAGUAAAGACGAAGAUUGAAGAGAACUAACUUAUGGCCUGAUGACAGGGUGGAUGGCGAUGGAGGCAUGGAGGUUGGGGGAGAGGAGGCUGAAGAAGUGGAGACAAAUCAGUUUAGAUUCAUUAUGUUGAUUAGUUUAAUAUUUAUUUUGUACAUCAGUAUAGGCCUACUUUUAUUUACAUUUUUUUCUCAUUUAGAUUAUUAAAUUCAGAUAAUUUUAUUGUUUUUAUGAAAAUGUUUUCUUAAAUUUUUAAUAUUUGUUUGUACUUCUGCCUGUUAAAAAAAUAUACUGUCUAUUAAGUUUGUUAAAAUGAUUACUUUCACUAACUGACCUUGUCUUGGGUGAAAAGAGACAUCUUGAUAUUUAACUAGCAGGGUGCCUGUUCUAUAGGCGGGGAUCGUAUAAGUCAGUUGAAACCUUCUUAUAUUUUGAUACUUAGUAAAUUAAUCAUUUACAACUUUAUAUAGUAUAGAUCGCUAUUCCUGUAUUGAUGUACUGAAAUGAAUAAAAU